Molecule: ribosomal RNA, 492 nt
Filed under: uncultured bacterium
Lineage: Bacteria
Description: partial 16S ribosomal RNA
Rfam family: Bacterial small subunit ribosomal RNA
Source: RNAcentral
AGUGAACGCUGGCGGUAGGCCUAGCACAUGCAAGUCGAACGGCAGCACAGUAAGAGCUUGCUCUUACGGGUGGCGAGUGGCGGACGGGUGAGGAAUACAUCGGAAUCUACUUUUUCGUGGGGGAUAACGUAGGGAAACUUACGCUAAUACCGCAUACGACCUACGGGUGAAAGCAGGGGAUCUUCGGACCUUGCGCGAUUGAAUGAGCCGAUGUCGGAUUAGCUAGUUGGCGGGGUAAAGGCCCACCAAGGCGACGAUCCGUAGCUGGUCUGAGAGGAUGAUCAGCCACACUGGAACUGAGACACGGUCCAGACUCCUACGGGAGGCAGCAGUGGGGAAUAUUGGACAAUGGGCGCAAGCCUGAUCCAGCCAUACCGCGUGGGUGAAGAAGGCCUUCGGGUUGUAAAGCCCUUUUGUUGGGAAAGAAAAGCAGCAGGUUAAUACCCCGCUGUUUUGACGGUACCCAAAGAAUAAGCACCGGCUAACUUCGUG